This 480-nucleotide ribosomal RNA is filed under the name uncultured bacterium. Its description in RNAcentral is "bacterial SSU rRNA". It matches the Rfam family "Bacterial small subunit ribosomal RNA", at positions 28 to 524 of the family's 1533-position model. The record is from RNAcentral.
GACGAACGCUGGCGGCGUGCCUCAGACAUGCAAGUCGAACGAUUAAAGCUCUCUUCGGAGAGUGUAUAGAGUGGCGCACGGGUGAGUAACACGUAAGUAAUCUACCCUCGAGUGGGGAAUAACAACCGGAACGGUUGCUAAUACCGCAUAAUGCAGCGGCACCGCAAGGUGACAGUUGUUAAAGAUUUAUCGCUUGAGGAGGAGCUUGCGGCAGAUUAGCUAGUUGGUAGGGUAACGGCUUACCAAGGCUACGAUCUGUAACCGGUCUAAGAGGACGGUCGGUCACACUGACACUGAAUAACGGGUCAGACUCCUACGGGAGGCAGCAGUCGGGAAUUUUGGGCAAUGGGCGAAAGCCUGACCCAGCAACGCCGCGUGAAGGAUGAAGUAUUUCGGUAUGUAAACUUCGAAAGAAUAGGAAGAAUUAAUGACGGUACUAUUUAUAAGGUCGGCUAACUACGUGCCAGCAGCCGCGGUAAU